This 1385-nucleotide ribosomal RNA is filed under the name uncultured bacterium. RNAcentral's name for it is "bacterial SSU rRNA". It matches the Rfam family "Bacterial small subunit ribosomal RNA". The record is from RNAcentral.
AGAGUUUGAUCCUGGCUCAGGAUGAACGCUGGCGGCGUGCCUAACACAUGCAAGUCGAACGAAGCAAUCUUAAUGAAGUUUUCGGAUGGAUUUAAGAUUGACUUAGUGGCGGACGGGUGAGUAACGCGUGGGUAACCUGCCUUGUACAGGGGGAUAACAGUUAGAAAUGACUGCUAAUACCGCAUAACCCGCUAAGGUCGCAUGACCUGGACGGAAAAGAUUUAUCGGUACAAGAUGGACCCGCGUCUGAUUAGCUAGUUGGUGAGGUAACGGCCCACCAAGGCGACGAUCAGUAGCCGGCCUGAGAGGGUGAACGGCCACAUUGGGACUGAGACACGGCCCAAACUCCUACGGGAGGCAGCAGUGGGGAAUAUUGCACAAUGGGGGAAACCCUGAUGCAGCAACGCCGCGUGAGUGAAGAAGUAUUUCGGUAUGUAAAGCUCUAUCAGCAGGGAAGAAAAUGACGGUACCUGACUAAGAAGCCCCGGCUAACUACGUGCCAGCAGCCGCGGUAAUACGUAGGGGGCAAGCGUUAUCCGGAUUUACUGGGUGUAAAGGGAGCGUAGACGGUUGUGCAAGUCUGAAGUGAAAGCCCGGGGCUCAACCCCGGGACUGCUUUGGAAACUGUAUAACUAGAGUGCAGGAGAGGUAAGCGGAAUUCCUAGUGUAGCGGUGAAAUGCGUAGAUAUUAGGAGGAACACCAGUGGCGAAGGCGGCUUACUGGACUGUAACUGACGUUGAGGCUCGAAAGCGUGGGGAGCAAACAGGAUUAGAUACCCUGGUAGUCCACGCCGUAAACGAUGAUUACUAGGUGUGGGGGGAUUGAACCCUUCCGUGCCGCAGUUAACACAAUAAGUAAUCCACCUGGGGAGUACGACCGCAAGGUUGAAACUCAAAGGAAUUGACGGGGGCCCGCACAAGCAGUGGAGUAUGUGGAUUAAUUCGAAGCAACGCGAAGAACCUUACCAGGUCUUGACAUCGUACGCAUAGCAUAGAGAUAUGUGAAAUCCCUUCGGGGACGUAUAGACAGGUGGUGCAUGGUUGUCGUCAGCUCGUGUCGUGAGAUGUUGGGUUAAGUCCCGCAACGAGCGCAACCCUUACUGUUAGUUGCUACGCAAGAGCACUCUAGCAGGACUGCCGUUGACAAAACGGAGGAAGGUGGGGAUGACGUCAAAUCAUCAUGCCCCUUAUGACCUGGGCCUCACACGUACUACAAUGGCUAUUAACAGAGGGAAGCAAAGCGGUGACGCAGAGCAAAUCCCUAAAAAUAGUCUUAGUUCGGAUUGUAGGCUGCAACUCGCCUACAUGAAGUCGGAAUUGCUAGUAAUCGCAGAUCAGCAUGCUGCGGUGAAUACGUUCCCGGGCCUUGCACUCACCGCCCGUCA